GACGAGCGCUGGCGGCGUGCUUAACACAUGCAAGUCGAACGGAAAGGCCCUGCUUUUGUGGGUUUCUCGAUUGGCGCACGGGUGAGUAACACGUGAGUAACCUGCCCUUGACUUUGGGAUAACUUCAGGAAACUGCGGCUAAUACCGGAUAUGAUCUCCUGCUGCAUGGUGGUGGUUGGAAAGUUUCGGCGGUUGUGGAUGGACUCGCGGCUUCUCCGCUUGUUGGUGGGGUAGUGGCUUACCAAGGCUUUGACGGGUAGCCUGCCUGAGAGGGUUACCGGCGACAUGGGGACUGAGAUACGGAGCAGAAGGCUACGGGAGGCAGUAGGGGGGAAUAUUGCAGAAUGGGCGGAAGUCUGAUGCAGCAAUGUCGCGUGCGGGAUGACGGGCUUCGGGUUGUAAACAGAUGUGGAAGGUGACGAAGAGUGAGUGACGGUAAUGGGUAAAGAAGCAACGGCUAACUACGUG
RNAcentral lists this ribosomal RNA (468 nucleotides) under uncultured bacterium. Its description in RNAcentral is "partial 16S ribosomal RNA". It matches the Rfam family "Bacterial small subunit ribosomal RNA", at positions 28 to 507 of the family's 1533-position model. The record is from RNAcentral.